UAGGGAAUCUUCCACAAUGGACGCAAGUCUGAUGGAGCAACGCCGCGUGAGUGAAGAAGGUUUUCGGACCGUAAAGCUCUGUUGUUGGUGAAGAAGGAUAGAGGUAGUAACUGGCCUUUAUUUGACGGUAAUCAACCAGAAAGUCACGGCUAACUACGUGCCAGCAGCCGCGGUAAUACGUAGGUGGCAAGCGUUGUCCGGAUUUAUUGGGCGUAAAGCGAGCGCAGGCGGAAGAAUAAGUCUGAUGUGAAAGCCCUCGGCUUAACCGAGGAAUUGCAUCGGAAACUGUUUUUCUUGAGUGCAGAAGAGGAGAGUAGAACUCCAUGUGUAGCGGUGGAAUGCGUAGAUAUAUGGAAGAAUACCAGUGGCGAAGGCGGCUCUCUGGUCUGCAAACUGACGCUGAGGCUCGGAAGCAUGGGUAGCGAACAGGAUUAGAUACCCUGGUAGUCCAUGCCGUAAAACGAUGAGUGCUAAGUGUUGGGAGGCUUCCGCCUCUCAGUGCUGCAGCUAACGCAUUAAGCACUCCGCCUGGGGGAGUACGACCGCAAAGGUUG
Molecule: ribosomal RNA, 554 nt
Filed under: uncultured bacterium
Lineage: Bacteria
Description: partial 16S ribosomal RNA
Rfam family: Bacterial small subunit ribosomal RNA
Source: RNAcentral